Molecule: ribosomal RNA, 253 nt
Filed under: uncultured bacterium
Lineage: Bacteria
Description: partial 16S ribosomal RNA
Rfam family: Bacterial small subunit ribosomal RNA
Source: RNAcentral
UACGUAGGGGGCUAGCGUUGUCUGGAUUUAUUGGGCGUAAAGAGCGUGUAGGCGGCCAGGUAGGUCUGCUGUGAAAACUCGAGGCUCAACCUCGAGACGUCGGCGGAAACCAUCUGGCUAGAGUCCGGAAGAGGAGAGUGGAAUUCCUGGUGUAGCGGUGAAAUGCGCAGAUAUCAGGAAGAACACCCGUGGCGAAGGCGGCUCUCUGGGACGGUACUGACGCUGAGACGCGAAAGCGUGGGGAGCGAACAGG